GACGAACGCUGGCGGCGUGCUUAACACAUGCCAGUCGAACGGGAUCCGGGCUUUCGGGUUUGGUGAGAGUGGCGAACGGGUGAGUAACACGUGAGUAACCUGCCCCCUUCUUUGGGAUAACGUCGGGAAAUCGGCGCUAAUACUGGAUAUUCUUGCUGCAUCGCAUGGUGUGGUUUGGAAAGGGUUUCUGGUGGGGGAUGGGCUCGCGGCCUAUCAGCUUGUUGGUGGGGUGAUGGCCUACCAAGGCUUUGACGGGUAGCCGGCCUGAGAGGGUGUCCGGCCACACUGGGACUGAGACACGGCCCAGACUCCUACGGGAGGCAGCAGUGGGGAAUAUUGCACAAUGGGCGCAAGCCUGAUGCAGCGACGCCGCGUGAGGGAUGACGGCCUUCGGGUUGUAAACCUCUUUCAGUAUGGAACAAGGAUCCUUCUUUUGGGGGGUUUGAGGGUACGUGCAGAAGAAGCGCCGGCUAACUACGUG
This 481-nucleotide ribosomal RNA is filed under the name uncultured bacterium. RNAcentral's name for it is "partial 16S ribosomal RNA". It matches the Rfam family "Bacterial small subunit ribosomal RNA", at positions 28 to 507 of the family's 1533-position model. The record is from RNAcentral.